RNAcentral lists this unclassified non-coding RNA (374 nucleotides) under soil metagenome. RNAcentral's name for it is "partial contains internal transcribed spacer 2 and large subunit ribosomal RNA". The stretch from base 1 to 120 matches the Rfam family "5.8S ribosomal RNA", at positions 35 to 154 of the family's 154-position model. The record is from RNAcentral.
GUUGAAGAACGCAGCGAAAUGCGAUAAUUAAUGUGAAUUGCAGAAUUCCGUGAAUCAUCGAGUCUUUGAACGCACAUUGCGCCUCAUGGCAUUCCGUGAGGCAUGCCCAUCUCAGCGUUAGAAAAUAUUCUCAAAUUUUAGUUUUGUGCUAAAAUUUGGAUCAUGUCAAGGAAGCUAUUACUAUUAUUGUGAUCGCUCUUUGGAAAUUGAUAGGUCUUUGAGUUGCUACUCAUAGAACGUGAUGAAUCUUUCUUCGUUCUAUUGUAAUUCACUCUGGUAGUCCUAAAACUUGUAUGCCUGUGGCAUAUCUUGUAAUUUGACCUGAGAUUGGGUAGGGAUACCCGCUGAACUUAAGCAUAUCAAUAAGCGGAGGA